UUUCUUUCUUUUUUUGAAACUUCUUUGUUUUCUUUUAAUUUCAAAAGGCAAAACAGUUUUAUAAAACAUAGAGCUUGAACCUAAAUUAUUAUUAUAAUUUAGACUACUGCCACAAUUAGUUUGGUAGUUAAAUAAAUUAGCUUAGCAUUUUUAUAAAACAAAAGGCAUUUAAGCAACGUUUUAACCAUUGUUUUAAUUAGUUUAGGGCAUUUAAAUACUUUGCAAAAAUGUUGGUUCGCCACCAAUAUUGCCAAAAGGAUAUUUGCCACAUGAUGAGCAUUUUAGUUUUCAUGUUUGAGCAAUUUAGAAUUUUGACUUUAAUUUGAAAUUGAGAUUUGGACUGGAAUAGAAUCAAAGUGAGAUUAGCAACAGUAACAAUGAUGACAAGGCAACAUUUAAAGGGGAUUAUUGUAGCAUGAUUCUCGGGGUGUUACAAAUCUCCUCCACUACAAGAAAUCUCAUCCCGAGAUUUAAGAGGUGGAGUAAUGGGGAAGACUCGGGAUGGAUGGAGUUCAAAACAAGAUAGGUACCUGGGGGCUAUCUCGGUGAACGUGGCAUAGAGGCAUCUCUCGAGUUGAAAUUCAAGAAAGUCAUCGAGAGCAAGGUAAGAAGGAGCAAUAAGAAGCUUCAACCGGGUAGGCAAUCGUUCGUUACCUGAAACAGAGGGUGAAAGGGGUUCAGAGCAAUGGGAAUAAGUAUUGCGUAUGAUACCAGAAUAGAUCACUACGUGGGUAAGCCAAGCGCGAGGGACAAUUUCGGAAAACAGGGACAUACAGGAGAGUCAGGUUUCGAUCCUGUGGAACUGUGGGUUAUGGGCCCACCAUGUGGUUCAAAAGUAGGAAGGACGCCGACAUAUUGCACGGUCAUGGUAGCAAGGCAUGUCAGAGGGUAGCCUGUCGAUUAUGUCGGCAACACCGUCGGUACCAAGGGCGAGGGACGAAGAGAACCAUUUUCCUGCUCGUUGAAACGAGGCGGACCAGUAGGCAAAGUUCUCGUCCAUCGGCGGUUACCGAAAUGUCAUCAACAAAAGUAACGGGGUCUUACUGACAGGGUUGUACACCGAGGUGUUCACAUAAGCAGGGAAUUAAUACUGCUUAGAUCAAAGUGAUCACCAGAAAGGUUAAAGAAAACAAUGGAAAGGAAAAGGUGUUUAUCAGAUUAACAGAACAAUGGAAAGGAAAAUGUGUUUAAACACAUAUUUCAGGGGUAUAUCCUUCCCAAGGGUAAGCAGAGCAUGAUAUCCAUGAUUGGAUAGAAGUAGAAAACCCUUUAGGUAAGGGGAGAGAAAUUUCUUGACAUCACCCAUACAACGGUGUUUGGAUAAUGGACAAAGAAAAUUUAGCAUUGUCCUUCAAAUGCUCUUAUUGGAAAUCGGAGUACCACAGACAUGCUUCGAGAUAGCAUUGACAUGGUCUUCAAGCAAAGAUGAGACUUUGGAUACAGGAAGGAUCCAUCAGGAAAAACUUGUAGAAUAAGUCUUACAAUUUUCUCAUGGAAGAAUGGAUAACCUUGCUGAAAGGAAGAACUAUAACAAUAGGUCCUCCGGUCAAGUGUGCUAGGCAUGACAUCACCUUACCGGGUCAUAUAAAGACCAAUGUUAUAACUCUUGAAAAUAUGCUCCAACCAUCAUAGCCGACCGAGAUUCAGAUCUGAUCGGUGUUAGGAAACCUUAGACUCAGGAUGCCUAAGAAGAAAAGGUGCAACACAAUUGACGAGAUGACAUUGUAAAAUUCUUAGGAAAUGAACUAUGGGAGCGAGUUUCGAAACAAAAAUUCAUCAUUAAACAAGGGAAAUGAUGAGGGGGUGGCUGAUGGACUCAGCGACAAUUCCUCGAGUUUUACUAAAGAUAGAUUUCCACAAUUAUGCGAACAAGGAGAUAACACUUGCCAGAUCAAAUGAUGUAAUGAUGUAUGCUCGAGGAAAACAUACACAAUUAAACAUUGGUUGAAAGGUGUACCCAAAAUAUUGGCUUAGGUAGCAUGAUCAAUGUUAGAAUGGUGAUUCAAUAACCAAUAGUCUAAGAAUGAACUAUCGACCAUUAACUUCAAAGCAAUAGGGCUGCUAGAAGUACAGAACCCAAACAUCAUCGUCCACUUGUUGAUAUUCCCGGUUAGUCAAUACGGGGACCAAGAAAUAAUGGUGCUUGUGAGAAGUAUCACUAUACCAAGAAUUAUUAAGAGGUGGAGCAAUCCUUGCAACAUCCUUGACAUAAGGACAGUAAUACUUCAAGGUAGAACAUAACACAAACUGGAUAGCAAGUUGCAUCCAUAACAUGAACAAGUUUGUGUUGGGGGAAGGAAAGGAUGUUGUCGAUGAUAACCCACAUUAUCGAGGGGCAAGGAUGGUAUUUCCCAUCAUGAAUUCGAUCGAUAUCCUGGAAGAUCUCAGAAUACUGAUGAUGAUCACGACACAUUUGUCACGAGAUUUCAUGAAGAUGUAAUCGAUCGGUGAUGACAUCAAGUCAAAGGAAUGAUGAAGCGAAAGGUUAUUGGAACCACGGUUACGACACGAACUCAAAAUUAAGCUUGUUGUUCAAGGCGAAAUGAUACGACGAGGAAGAAUGGCGUAAGGUUAUCUCAUCGUCGAAAAUUAUGCUCUGGGAAGAAGGACCAGGUAGCACAGUUAAAAUUUAGCACAAUGAUAUAGCCGAUCAGGCUAGGAAUGACUUGAAGGAUUAUUAAACUCGUAAGCAAUGAAAAUUACAUAGAGUUAUUGAAUCGGAGUGCGGAAUCGAUUCACUUAUCGGUGUUCUCGAGUGAAAUAACUCAGAACCCGGGGGAAAUCUGAAAUCGGUGAGAAGCAAUAAUAGAUGAAGACUCGUAGGAAGCAACACAGUUCGUUGAUAUUCUUGAGAUACUGGAGGGUAUUACUCGAAGGAAGAUUGACAUAGGGGUUGCGGAGAUGUAUUGAUCCGCAGAAGACAAGUGUUUUCACUUGCUUGAGAAAUGGGAUCAAGUAGAAAAUAUGGUCGGAACCACGAUCAUAAAUGAUCGAACCACGGAUACAAGAUGAACUUAUAACAAGGGGGUAAUUAUUUUUACAAGCAACUUCCAUGAUAAGUUAUACAUCGUGUCCAUGGGCAUGAACGCAAGGUUCAAGGUCGACUCCCACUUCUUCAAUGUAUAAGCUUCCAUUCACUUCUCGCUUUGAUAAAGGUAUUAGUGUUGAAAGUUUUACCUGGUGAAAUACCAGAUGAGUAUGACUCGUGAAAACUUCUGAGUUCACACAUAUUAAGGAAGGCAUAGGUUCAACCCGUCUGGGUAUCGUGGAAACAUAUACCACAAGCUUCAAUAGUAAAUACCACCAACUCGAAAACAGAGCAUGGUUGAGAAAACAAAGGAUACAAUUUACCAAAGGCAUGGUGUAUCAGGGGAAGAACUCAAGGUUUUGAGAAUAUGCAGGAAUGGUCGGAUAAUAAUCCACCAAAGGAUCCGGCGGACCGCAAAGAAACUGAUUUGAGUAUAUAUGUUCAGCCAGAAGAAGAAAUAAUGCCAAGGCAUCGGAUUAUAGAAAAAUCUGGAUAAUUCGAGACCUUAAAUGCAACGAAUUAUGAUUUCCAAAUUGGGGGAUCAAAAGCAGAUGCUCUGAUCAAAAGACAAGUAAGUUGAAUAGACUUAGAGGCACAAACGGUGGCAAUUUGAUUGGUCGACAACCAGCUCAUGUUCAAAAUGACGUCCGAGCCGGAAGGAUAAUUUUCAGGGAAUAACUGAUGAUUGUGUGCAUUCACACACAUGUUGAUCCAGCAUGAUCAGAAUGUCGAUCACAAAGCAUUUUAAUGAAUAUUGCUAGACAUAUGGAAGUAACCAUUAUGCAAGCAGGUAAAGAAGAUCAAGAGCAAUAGGCUACUGAGGAUUUCAGAAGAUCGAAUGGCAUUUCGAAGAAUUUUGCGAAACACCUGACAACUAGGGAUGAACAAAUCCCCGGUAAGUGUGAGGAAUUAUUCAUACAAGUAUUCAUGAGGAAAAGAAGCUGCAAGGCAGCAGACCCAAAGGAUUCUCGGAAUAUCCGAAGUAUUUUAGGGUAUCUUGUAAUAACAAGAACAUUUGGAAAUGAAGUUAUGGACAACAAGUGUAUGUAGCUUUCCAUAGGGAUUUAUCGGUGGCAUGGAUUUGCAACGGCGAAGGGCACCAGGGUCUCGGGGAAACAUCGGAGAGUAUCUUCAAAAUUUUCUGGUGCAGCAGGCGGUCAUCUGGACUGAAGGGGCUCUCGGGGAGAAGUAUUCUCGAGAACCUAAAGUUAGAUUUUAGAAAAAUCAUUUAACCUGUAUAGAAGAGAGAUCAGAGUCCCAGAGUAUAGACGAGAAAUAAAAGAUCCUAAUACCACCCAAUGGCGACGUGGGCCCAUAAGACACACAACCAUGUUAGUAAAAGUUUUGCAAUGUCUAGACUCGACUUUGGCCAAGGAGUGUGGAAGGGGGAUUCCUAUAGGCAGUCGGCUCUGAUACCAACUUGUGACGUCCCCGAUUCAAUCAUACACUAACAUGCACGCAAAUGUGUACGAUCAAGACCAGGGACUCACGGGAAGAUAUCUCAACACAACUCUACAACAUAAAUAAGUCAUACAAGUAUCAUAAUACAAGCCAGGGGCCUCGAGGGCUCGAAUACAAGUGCUCGAUCAUAGACAAGUCAGCGGAAGCAACAAUAUCUGAGUACAGACAUAAGUUAAACAAAUUUGCCUUAAGAAGGCUAGCACAAACUGGGAUACGGAUCGAAAGAGGCGCAGGCCUCCUGCCUGGGAUCCUCCUAAACUACUCCUGGUCGUCGUCAGCGGCCUGCACGUAGCAGUAGGCACCUCCAGUGUAGUAAGAGUCGUCGUCGACGAUGGCGUCUGGCUCCUGGGCUCCAGCAUCUGGUUGCGUCAACCAGGUAGAAGGGAAAGGGGGAAAAGAGGGAGAAAAACAACCAUGAGUACUCAUCCAAAGUACUCGCAAGCAAGGAGCUACACUACAUAUGCAUGGGUAUAAGUGUAAAGGGCCAUAUCGGUGGACUGAACUAUAGAAUGCCAGAAUAAGAGGGGGAUAGCUAAUCCUGUUGAAGACUACGCUUCAAGCCACCUCCAUCUUUCAGCAUGUAGAAGAGAGUAGAUGGUAAGUUCACCAAGUAGCAUCGCAUAGCAUAAUCCUACCCGGUGAUCCCCUCCUCGUCGCCUUGUUAGAGAGCGAUCACUGGGUUAUAUCUGGCACUUGGAAGGGUGUGUUUUAUUAAGUAUCCAGUUCUAGUUGUCAUAAGGUCAAGGUACAACUCCGGGUCGUCCUUUUACCGAGGGACACGACUAUUCGAAUAGAUAAACUUCCCUGCAGGGGUGCACCACAUAACCCAACACGCUCGAUCCCCUUUUGCCGGACACACUUUCCUGGGUCAUACCCGGCCUCGGAAGAUCAACACGUCGCAUCCCUACCUAGGCACAACAGAGAGGUCAGCACGUCGGUCUAAAUCCUAUGGCAUAGGGGUCUGGGCCCAUCGCCCAUUGCACACCUGCACGUUGCGUACGCGGCCGAAAGCAGAACUAGCCCCCUUAAUACAAGAGCAGGAUUACGUUCCAAUCCAGCGCGCGCCGCUCAGUCGCUGACGUCACGAAGGCUUCGGCUGAUACCACGACGUCGAGUGCCCAUAACUUUCCCACGUAGUUGGUUAGUGCGUAUAGACCAAAUGGCCAGACUCAGAUCAAAUACCAAGAACUCGUUAAGCGUGUUAUUAUUAAGUAUCCGCGGACGCCGACCAGGGCCAGGCCCACCUCUCUCCUAGGUGGUCUCGACCCGCCCUGUCGCUCCGCCGCAAAGUAACAGUCGGGGGCCGUCAGGAACCCAGGCCCACCUCUACCGGGAUGGAGCCACCUGUCCUUUCAGCCCCCUCAUCAGAAUCACUUGCGGGUACUCAACGAGCUGACCCGACUUUAGUCACCACAUGUGUCAUGUAUAUAAAGUAUAUAGUAUAUACCCGUGAUCACCUCCCGAAGUGAUCACGGCCCAGUAGUAUAGCAUGGCAUACGGACAAGAGUGUAGGGCCACUGAUGGAACACUAGCAUCCUAUACUAAGCAAUAGGAUAGCAGGUAAGGGUAACAACUGUAGCAACAAUGACAGGCUAUGCAGCAGAAUAGGAUUAACCGAAAGCAGUAACAUGCUACACUACUCUAAUGCAAGCUGUAUAGAGAAGAAUAGGCGAUAUAUGGUGAUCAAGGGGGGGGGGCUUGCCUGGUUGCUCUGGCAAGGAGGGGUCGUCGUCGACGUAGUCGAUCACAGUGGCAGCAUCGGUCUCGGGGUCUACCGGAGAGAAGAGGGGGAAGAAACAGUAAAUAUAAAGCAAACAUGGCAUCACAAAGCAUAACGUGGCAAUAUGCUGUGCCGGGUGUGACCUAACGCAUGGCUACACGAUAUAGGUGAAGGGGGAAUUCAACCGGGAAUAUAUUCCCGGUUCCGAACCUGUGUCAGAUAGAGGACCGGAGGGGGAAUGUUUUAUGUUCAGAUACUUAGAGUUAUCUGACAGGUAAACGGACCGUGUAUUCGGAUUCGUCUCGUCGUUCUGAGCAACUUUCAUGUAUAAAACGUUUUCAUCCAAGUUACAGAUUAUUUUAUAUGAAUUUUUGAAGUUUAAGCAAUAUCCUAGAUUUAUUAUUAAACUAAAAUAGGGUUAUUGCACCAGCAUGGCGUCAUCAUGACGUCAUCAGUCAGCUGAGUUGACCAUGGUCAACCCUGACGCGUGGGGCCGGUCAGUGCCCAGUCAGCAGUACAGUCAGCGUUGACAGGGUCAAAGUUGACCAGUCAACAGGGUCAAUGGGGCCCAUCUGUGAGUGUCACAUAUUUUAAAGGGGGGGGGUUUAAAUUAAGCUAACUAGGGGUGGGGCCCCACUGUCAUAGAGUCCUGUGACUAACUAAUUAGCUAAUUAAUUAAUUAGGCAAAAUUAAUUAAGUUUAUUAACUGAACCACUAAUUAAUUAAUUAUUUUAGUAGUUAUUUUAUUUUUAUUAACAUUUAUUUUUUCGUUUUUCUUAAGACAGGGGCGUGGGCCCCAUUCGUCAGUGGCUCAGGCCAGUUGAGGGCACGGGCUACCGGGCGAGGCAGACCCGGGCGUGGUCACGGCGAGGCCGGCCGGAGCGGUGCCCGCCAGUGGCAGUGGCGGGAGAGGGGCUCCGUCACGCGCGGGGACAGCGGGGAGCGGUGGCGGACGCCGGCGAAGGCAGCUGCGCGGGGAUGGGGAGCAGGGCCGGCCGCAGCCAGAGUCAGGCGCGGGCGGGGCGCGGUCUAGGAGCGUGGUGAGUGCGCGCCAGGGAAGGCGGCAGUGCGCGGGCGCACGCGUCGGGCAUGGUCGAGGCGCAGGCGGCGCGAGCAACGGUGAGCGCAACAGCAGAGGGAGGAGGAGACCGGUGGGGUUCCUCACCCGCGUUGCAGGGGAGGCUCGGGGAGGCCGGCGAUGAGCAGCCCGACGGCGACGACAUGCGUUGGGAGGUCGGGGUGGCCAUGGACGGAGCACGGACGGAGCUCGAGGAAGACGGGCGCGGUGUAGCAUGGAGAGGAAGGAGGCGAGGCGGUCCGGUGGCGUCGUGGUUCUGGCAAGGGGGCUCCUAGCGGCGGCGGCGUCGUCGAGGCCGAGCCCCAAUUCCAGAUCAGGGGCGGAGGGGACGAGGCGGCUGAUGGGUGUCGGGGCGAGGUGAGGCAGCUACUGCGACGGGGAUGGGCGCCCUAGGCGCGGGCGGGCGUCCAGAUCGAGCGGGGCAGGGGGUCGUGCGAGAGAGAUGGGAUCGUGGGGGUGGGGAAGUGGAUCAUGGGUCGAGCGUGGGGCUCUCCCCUGGCGGCGCUGUAGGGAGAGGGUGGGGUUCGGGGCAGUCUAGGGUUAGGUCGGGGGCUAGGGGAGUUAUACGGGGCGGCUGGGCCGGUUAGGUCGGGGGCUAGGCCGGUUGGCCCAGUGGGGGGGGGGCUUUUUUUUUGUUUUGAAACUUCUUUGUUUUCUUUAAUUUCAAAAGGUAAAAUAGUUUUAUAAAACACAAAGCUUGAACCUAAAUUAUUAUUAUAAUUUAGACUACUGCCACAAUUAGUUUGGUAGUUAAAUAAAUUAGCUUAGCAUUUUUAUAAAACAAAAAGGCAUUUAAGCAACGUUUUAACCAUUGUUUUAAUUAGUUUAGGGCAUUUAAACACUUCGCAAAAAUGUUGGUUCGCCACCAAUAUUGCCAAAAGGAUAUUUGCCACAUGAUGAGCAUUUUAGUUUUCAUGUUUGAGCAAUUUAGAAUUUUGACUUUAAUUUGAAAUUGAGAUUUGGACUGGAAUAGAAUCAAAGUGAGAUUAGCAACAGUAACAAUGAUGACAAGGCAACAUUUAAAGGGGAUUAUUGUAGCAUGAUUCUCGG
RNAcentral lists this long non-coding RNA (8337 nucleotides) under Triticum aestivum (bread wheat). Its description in RNAcentral is "long non-coding RNA (TAES_LNC000286)". Lineage: Eukaryota; Viridiplantae; Streptophyta; Magnoliopsida; Poales; Poaceae. The record is from RNAcentral.